UGGACGUGGGUGUUGCCGUCAGUUCCGGCCCCCGAGUGGCGUUUGGGCGCGUAGCUCUCGAGCUGAGACGUACAUGCCCUUCCACGACGUCCAACACUAAGCUGCUCCCGGCUUCGGCUGCGAGGACGGCGCCUGCAUAUUCCUACAUCUCCCAGAGUCCUUUGGGCCGUGACUGGGCAGAACGACCAUGCGGGAAACAAAC
Molecule: small nucleolar RNA, 202 nt
Filed under: Neogobius melanostomus (round goby)
Lineage: Eukaryota; Metazoa; Chordata; Actinopteri; Gobiiformes; Gobiidae
Description: Small nucleolar RNA SNORA73 family (ENSNMLG00000021701.1)
Rfam family: Small nucleolar RNA SNORA73 family
About the family: U17 (SNORA73A and SNORA73B) also known as E1 belongs to the H/ACA class of small nucleolar RNAs (snoRNAs). Vertebrate U17 is intron-encoded and ranges in length from 200-230 nucleotides, longer than most snoRNAs. It is one of the most abundant snoRNAs in human cells and is essential for the cleavage of pre-rRNA within the 5' external transcribed spacer (ETS).
Source: Rfam by way of RNAcentral